This 497-nucleotide ribosomal RNA is filed under the name uncultured bacterium. RNAcentral's name for it is "partial 16S ribosomal RNA". It matches the Rfam family "Bacterial small subunit ribosomal RNA", at positions 28 to 507 of the family's 1533-position model. The record is from RNAcentral.
GAUGAACGCUGGCGGCGUGCCUAAUACAUGCAAGUCGAACGGACGAACGAGUACCUUUCUGCUCGGAGUUUAUCGGCGGCCGGGGGGGGAACACGACGAUAGCCUACCGAUCCGACUUUGAUGACAUCGGCAAACCAGAGCUGAUACCACAUGAUAUUUUGAACCUCAUGCAUGAAAAGUCUGAGACGGUCUUGCUUUCGCUUAUAGAUGGGUUCGCGCUGCAUUAGCUAGUUGGUAAGGUAACGGCUUACCAAGGCAACGAUGACUAGCCGGCCUGAGAGGGUGGUGGGCGAUCACGGAACGGCGACGCGGUGCAGACGCCUACGGGAGGCAGCAGUAGGGAAGCUUCCGGAAUGGGGGAAAGAAUGACGGAGCAGCGACGCGUGAGGGAUGAAGGUGGUCGGAUCGUAGAGAUCUGUUAUUAGGGAAGAACCUAUGUGUAAGUAACUGUGCAUAUCUUGACGGUAGCUAGUCAGAAAGCGACGGCUAACUACGUG